RNAcentral lists this ribosomal RNA (2577 nucleotides) under Entamoeba dispar SAW760. RNAcentral describes it as "eukaryotic LSU rRNA". It matches the Rfam family "Eukaryotic large subunit ribosomal RNA", at positions 727 to 3401 of the family's 3401-position model. The record is from RNAcentral. Lineage: Eukaryota; Evosea; Mastigamoebida; Endamoebidae.
AAAAACUAUGAGAGUGUAGAAAUACAUUUAGCAAUAGUAUCUUUCAAUAGAAGAAGUAAAUAUGUUAGGACCCGAAAGAUGGUGAACUAUACUUGAACGGAUUGAAGCCGAAGGAAACUUUGGUGGAAGAUUCACGCAGUGUUAACGUGCAAAUUACUUGUCAUAUUUGAGUAUAGGGGCGAAAGACUCAUCGAACUAUCUAGUAGCUGGUUCCACCUGAAUAUUCCCUUAGGAAGGUCAAAGUAUUAAUAGUAUUGAUUGGUAAAGAUAAUGAUUAGGUGUAAUGGGUGAGUAUUUUCACUCAACAUCUUGUCAAACUAUGAAUAAACAAAGAAGAAUUCUCAGUGUUAAAUACACUUCAGGAAUUUAAAUAUAAACAUACUUUGAAUCGGCCAAGUCUGGUAAGCAGGACUGGCGAUGCGGGAUGAACCGAACGUCGAGAUAAAGUGCCAAAAAGAAACAUAACGAGUACCACAAAAGGUAUUCAUUCAUAUUGACAAUAGGACGGUGGCCAUGGAAGUCGGAAACCGCUAAGGAAUGUGUAACAACUCACCUAUCGAAUGAAUGAGUCCUGAAAAUGGAUGGCAUUAUAAUUUCUUAACUGAUACUCGACCGUUAAAAUGAAGACAUUUUAACGAGUAAGGAAACGAAAUGGCGUAAGGACAACAAAAGUAGUAAAGAUUUAAAGUAAUUUAUAUUGAAACUGUCCUUAGUGCAGAUCUUGGUGGUAGUAGCAAAUACUAAGAAGAGGAAAAAAACAUCUUACAACUGAAGAGGAGAAAGGUUCCUAAACAACAUUACUUGGAUUAGGGUGAAUCGAUCCUAAAUUACAGAUGGAAAUCCUUAAGAAAUAUAUAAGUGACAUAUAGUCAAUAUAAGGAUUGAAAGGGAAUAAGAUUAAUAGUUCUUAAUCAAGAGAAUUAAUGAUUAAAUCUUAAAAAUAAGAUUAAAUCGAAUAAAAUGGUAACAUAUCAUGAACUUUAAAAUGGAGUGUGAAAAUCUACGGAAGAGUUCUCUUUUCUUCUUAACAAAAGUAAACUCCACUGAAAUGAAUCAAUCAAAGAAGUGGAAUUUAUUGGCUUUGUAAGAAAUUCAACAUAUGAUUGAAUUGUGGUAUUUUUGCAGUCUUCAUAAAAAUUAAAGGGAAUCUUAGCAUAAAGCUAAUUAAAGAAUUCUUUUGCUCGUACUAAUAACCGCAACAGGUCUCCAAGAAGCAAAAUCUUUAGUUAAAUAGAAUAACGCAGGUAAGGGAAGUCGGCAACAUAGCUCUGUAAGUUAGCAAGAAAGAGUAGCUCUGGUGAUUUCCUUGUAAAAGGAUUAAAAUCGAAUCAGAACUUUAAAGGUUAGGGGAAUCCGACUGUUUAAUAAAAACAUAGCAUUCUGAUAAAUCUAAAAGGUUCAUUACAGAAUGUGAUUUCUGCCCAGUGCUCUGAAUGUCAAGGUAAUGAAAUUUACUUAAGCGCGGGUUAACGGCGGGAGUAACUAUGACUCUCUUAAGGUAGCCAAAUGCCUCGUCAUCUAAUUAGUGACGCGCAUGAAUGGAUCACCGUGAUUCCCACUGUCCCUAUCUGCAAUCUAGUGAAACCACAGUCAAGGGAACGGGCUUGAUUGGAACGGCGGGGAAAGAAGACCCUGUUGAGCUUGACUCUAAUUUAUCAUGUGAAAUCGAUUUUUUGGUAUAGGCUAGGUGGGAGACUUUGUCAAACGUGUAAUACCACCACUAGAAAUACUAUUUCACUCAUUUCGUUAAAUGUUAAAAUGGAUUUUCCAUUAAUUUAAAAACAUUAAAACUUCGGUUGAAACAGGCGAUUGAAAAAGAUAGACGGGGAGUUUGGCUGGGGCGGCACAUCUGUUACAAGAUAACGCAGGUGUCCAAAGAUGAACUCAAUGAGGACAGAAACCUCAUGUAGAAUAUAAGGGUAUAAGUUCAUUUGAUUAUUGAUUCCAGUACAAUCAAUAACUCUGAAAUGAUGGCCUAACGAUCCCUAAGAUUUUUAACUAGAAAAAAUUUAAAACAUAUUAGAUUUAUCUGAUGUGUGAGACCGUAAGGUGAUUUCUAGUUAAUCCUUUAAUAAUAAGGCUUGGGGUGUCAGAAAAGUUACCACAGGGAUAACUGGCUUGUGGCAGCCAAGCGCUCAUAGCGACGUUGCUUUUUGAUCCUUCGAUGUCGGCUCUUCCUAUCCAUUUCAAGCAGAAUUGAAAAAAGGUAUGAUUGUUCACCAUUUAAUAGGGAACGUGAGCUGGGUUUAGACCGUCGUGAGACAGGUUAGUUUUACCCUACCGUUUCGGUAGAUCUUCAAAGUAUUUAGAUAGUAGCACAACUCAGUACGAGAGGAACCGUUGUGUCACGCCACUGGAUUAUUCAAUUAUUUGAUCAAAUAGUGUUGAGAAUCUAACACGUGUUGAAAUAAUGGCUGAAAGCCUCUCAAGCCAGAAUUUCGUCUAGAUGAAUACUUUGUCUUUUUCUUGUUACUUUAGUACAAUUGAAAAUUAUAUACGUUGUAUUUAUUAUCUCGUGUAUUACUCUAUCAAAAGGGUAGUGAAUACUGAGUUAACAAAAUUCAAAGCAUAACUGUU